GCAGCGGCUGUCAAAGCCUCUGACAAAAAGAAAUAUCCGGAAAGUCUUCAAUUUUGUUGGAUGUGAAUCCAUGGGAUGAAGAGACAGAUGUGGCAAAGCUUGAGGAAACCGUGAGGAAUGUCCAGAUGGAAGGCCUCUCAUGGGGAAUGUUUGGAUAUGGUAUCAAGAAGUUGCAA
Papaver somniferum (opium poppy) is the source of this 176-nucleotide long non-coding RNA. RefSeq lists it as uncharacterized. The transcript is spliced from 3 exons. Lineage: Eukaryota; Viridiplantae; Streptophyta; Magnoliopsida; Ranunculales; Papaveraceae. The record is from RefSeq and is a predicted model, not a curated record.